Molecule: long non-coding RNA, 277 nt
Filed under: Sander lucioperca (pikeperch)
Lineage: Eukaryota; Metazoa; Chordata; Actinopteri; Perciformes; Percidae
Description: lncRNA (ENSSLUG00000007103.1)
Source: RNAcentral
AUUUCAAAUGGAGGAAUCAUCUCUACAGCUGCUGCUGGUUGUGAUCUCACUGCUGAGAUGUACAACAAACCAAGCCUCUCUGACUGUGAGUCCCAGCAAAUCUCAGAUGUUUAGAGGACAGGAUGUCUCUCUGAGCUGUGAGGAGGACGACAGCUCUGCUGGAUGGACUCUGAGGAGGAACACAACCAGAGAAAACAGGACUCAGUGUGGAGAUGACUGGGGAAAAACUGCUGGUUCUUCCUGUAAAAUCAGCUUAAUUAUUCCAGAGGACAGUGGA